RNAcentral lists this ribosomal RNA (509 nucleotides) under Paraburkholderia phenazinium. RNAcentral describes it as "partial 16S ribosomal RNA". It matches the Rfam family "Bacterial small subunit ribosomal RNA", at positions 357 to 858 of the family's 1533-position model. The record is from RNAcentral. Lineage: Bacteria; Pseudomonadati; Pseudomonadota; Betaproteobacteria; Burkholderiales; Burkholderiaceae.
GGVAAKUUUGGACAAUGGGGGCAACCCUGAUCMAGCAAUGCCCCGUGUGUGAAGAAGGCCUWAGGGUUGUAAAGCACUUUUGUCCSGGAAAGAAAUCCUCUGGGUUAAUACCCCGGGGGGAUGACGGUACCGGAAGAAUAAGCACCGGCUAACUACGUGCCAGCAGCCGCGGUAAUACGUAGGGUGCAAGCGUUAAUVGGAAUUACUGGGCGUAAAGCGUGCGCAGGCGGUCCGCUAASACAGAUGUGAAAUCCCCGGGCUUAACCUGGGAACUGCAUUUGUGACUGGCGGGCUAGAGUAUGGCAGAGGGGGGUAGAAUUCDACGUGUAGCAGUGAAAUGCGUAGAGAUGUGGAGGAAUACCGAUGGCGAAGGCAGCCCCCUGGGCMAAUACUGACGCUHAUGCACGAAAGCGUGGGGAGCAAACAGGAUUAGAUACCCUGGUAGUCHACGCCCUAAACGAUGUCAACUAGUUGUCGGGUCWDAAUUGACUUGGUAACGMUACUAACCU